Molecule: ribosomal RNA, 460 nt
Filed under: uncultured bacterium
Lineage: Bacteria
Description: partial 16S ribosomal RNA
Rfam family: Bacterial small subunit ribosomal RNA
Source: RNAcentral
CCUACGGGAGGCAGCAGUGAGGAAUAUUGGUCAAUGGACGAGAGUCUGAACCAGCCAAGUAGCGUGAAGGAUGACUGCCCUAUGGGUUGUAAACUUCUUUUAUAUGGGAAUAAAAUGUUCCACGUGUGGGAUUUUGUAUGUACCAUAUGAAUAAGGAUCGGCUAACUCCGUGCCAGCAGCCGCGGUAAUACGGAGGGUCCGAGCGUUAUCCGGAUUUAUUGGGUUUAAAGGGAGCGUAGGUGGAUUGUUAAGUCAGUGGUGAAAGUUUGCGGCUCAACCGUAAAAUUGCAGUUGAAACUGGCAGUCUUGAGUACAGUAGAGGUGGGCGGAAUUCGUUGUGUAGCGGUGAAAUGCUUAGAUAUCACGAAGAACUCCGAUUGCGAAGGCAGUUCACUGGACUGCAACUGACACUGAGGCUCGAAAGUGUGGGUAUCAAACAGGAUUAGAUACCCGGGUAGUC